GAGUUUGAUCCUGGCUCAGAUUGAACGCUGGCGGCAUGCCUUACACAUGCAAGUCGAACGGCAGCACGGGAGCUUGCUCCUGGUGGCGAGUGGCGAACGGGUGAGUAAUGCAUCGGAACGUAUCCUGGAGUGGGGGAUAACGUAGCGAAAGUUACGCUAAUACCGCAUAUUCUGUGAGCAGGAAAGCGGGGGACCUUCGGGCCUCGCGCUCUUGGAGCGGCCGAUGUCGGAUUAGCUAGUUGGUGAGGUAAAGGCUCACCAAGGCGACGAUCCGUAGCAGGUCUGAGAGGAUGAUCUGCCCCACUGGAACUGAGACACGGUCCAGACUCCUACGGGAGGCAGCAGUGGGGAAUUUUGGACAAUGGGGGCAACCCUGAUCCAGCCAUGCCGCGUGAGUGAAGAAGGCC
RNAcentral lists this ribosomal RNA (407 nucleotides) under bacterium enrichment culture clone ALO1_GLFRUDD03G3ZPH. Its description in RNAcentral is "bacterial SSU rRNA". It matches the Rfam family "Bacterial small subunit ribosomal RNA", at positions 9 to 416 of the family's 1533-position model. The record is from RNAcentral.